RNAcentral lists this transfer RNA (71 nucleotides) under Marmota monax (woodchuck). RNAcentral describes it as "tRNA.Ser". The record is from RNAcentral. Lineage: Eukaryota; Metazoa; Chordata; Mammalia; Rodentia; Sciuridae.
UGGGGUUGGCUCAGUGGUAGAGCACUUGCCUAGAAUGUGCAGGGCCCUGGGUUCAAUCCUCAGCACCACAU